Molecule: ribosomal RNA, 776 nt
Filed under: uncultured Neocallimastigales
Lineage: Eukaryota; Fungi; Neocallimastigomycota; Neocallimastigomycetes; Neocallimastigales
Description: partial large subunit ribosomal RNA
Rfam family: Eukaryotic large subunit ribosomal RNA
Source: RNAcentral
AGAGAUGUGUGAUGACGCAUAUCAAUAAGCGGAGGAAAAGAAACUAACAAGGAUUCCCUUAGUAACGGCGAGUGAAGCGGGAAGAGCUCAAAUUUGAAAUCUUCAAGGUUUUACCUUGACGAAUUGUAGUUUAAAGAAGUGUUUUCUGUUGAAGUUUCGGUAAAAGUUCUUUGGAAUAGGACAUCAUAGAGGGUGAGAAUCCCGUAUUUGACCGUUACUUUCCAGCCGUGUGAUACACUUUCAAAGAGUCGGAUUGUUUGGGAAUGCAGUCCAAAAUGGGUGGUAAAUUUCAUCUAAAGCUAAAUAUUGGCGAGAGACCGAUAGCGAACAAGUACCGUGAGGGAAAGAUGAAAAGAACUUUGAAAAGAGAGUUAAACAGUACGUGAAAUUGUCAAAAGGGAAGCGUUUGACACCAGUGUUGUUUUUCCGAAAAUCAAUUACGAAUGUUUUAUUUUUGAGAAGUUAUGACUUCAUCGGCUUGCUUCUCUCUUUACUGAAACUUUCUUAAUGCACUUUUCGGUUAACAAGUCAACAUCAAUUUCUUUUGUUGUAAAAGGGUAUGAGGAAGGUGGCUUUCUUUUCGGAGAAAGUGUUUAUAGCCUUGUACCUCUGCAAUCGGAGAGAUUGAGGUCUGCAGCGUAGAUCCUUCGGGGUUAGAUACAUUUGUGCUAAGUUAUAGCCUUUCAUAGACAACUUGUUGACUAUGAUCAGUCAUGUAGCUUACUCGCUUAUGUCAUUUUACCUACGCUUAGGAUGUUGAAGAUGUAGCACAUCAU